This 371-nucleotide ribosomal RNA is filed under the name uncultured Glomeromycotina. Its description in RNAcentral is "eukaryotic LSU rRNA". Lineage: Eukaryota; Fungi; Glomeromycota. The record is from RNAcentral.
UUGAAAGGGAAACGAUUGAAGUCAGUCGUACCGACGAGAAAUCAGCUUAUCGUGUGUUAACUUGUGGGCGUGCGUGAGUUUCGGCCUCGCUGUUUGCAUGUUUGUGCACUUUGGGUGUACUUUUUCGUAUGGUUGGCCAACAUCAGUUUCGAUUACUAUAAAAUGACUGGCGGAAUGUAGCUUCGAUUUCGGUUGAAGUGUUAUAGCCUCUGGUAGAUGUGGUGAUUGAGACUGAGGAUUGCAACGAAUAUCCUUUGGGCUAUCCGCCUGGCCUCUGAAAGUUGCUUAGGUGCUGAAAGUUUGCUUAUGAUUAUCUAAGUUAACGGUUGAUAGGUUAGAACGUGAUUACAUUCGUUAAGGAUGUUGACGUA